AGCGAACGCUGGCGGCAGGCUUAACACAUGCAAGUCGAGCGGGCGUAGCAAUACGUCAGCGGCAGACGGGUGAGUAACGCGUGGGAACGUACCUUUUGGUUCGGAACAACACAGGGAAACUUGUGCUAAUACCGGAUAAGCCCUUACGGGGAAAGAUUUAUCGCCGAAAGAUCGGCCCGCGUCUGAUUAGCGAGUUGGUGAGGUAACGGCUCACCAAGGCGACGAUCAGUAGCUGGUCUGAGAGGAUGAUUAGCCACAUUGGGACUGAGACACGGCCCAAACUCCUACGGGAGGCAGCAGUGGGGAAUAUUGGACAAUGGGGGCAACCCUGAUCCAGCCAUGCCGCGUGAGUGAUGAAGGCCCUAGGGUUGUAAAGCUCUUUUGUGCGGGAAGAUAAUGACGGUACCGGAAGAAUAAGCCCCGGCUAACUUCGUG
RNAcentral lists this ribosomal RNA (435 nucleotides) under uncultured bacterium. Its description in RNAcentral is "partial 16S ribosomal RNA". It matches the Rfam family "Bacterial small subunit ribosomal RNA", at positions 29 to 507 of the family's 1533-position model. The record is from RNAcentral.